Molecule: ribosomal RNA, 454 nt
Filed under: uncultured bacterium
Lineage: Bacteria
Description: bacterial SSU rRNA
Rfam family: Bacterial small subunit ribosomal RNA
Source: RNAcentral
UACGGAAGGCAGCAGUGGGGAAUAUUGCACAAUGGGCGCAAGCCUGAUGCAGCCAUGCCGCGUGUAUGAAGAAGGCCUUCGGGUUGUAAAGUACUUUCAGUCGUGAGGAAGGUGUUAAGGUUAAUAACCUUAGCAAUUGACGUUAGCGACAGAAGAAGCACCGGCUAACUCCGUGCCAGCAGCCGCGGUAAUACGGAGGGUGCGAGCGUUAAUCGGAAUUACUGGGCGUAAAGGGCACGCAGGCGGUUAAUUAAGUUGGAUGUGAAUCCCCGGGCUUAACCUGGGAAUGGCAUUCAAGACUGGUUAGCUAGAGUCUUGUAGAGGGGGUAGAAUUCCAUGUGUAGCGGUGAAAUGCGUAGAGAUGUGGAGGAAUACCGGGUGGCGAAGGCGGCCCCUGGGACAAAGACUGACGCUCAUGUGCGAAAGCGUGGGGAGCAAACGAGGAUUAGAUACC